AUUGUAUGGAACCCAGCAUUUUUUUACAGAAAGUUCUUUGCAGAGGUGCAAUAAAUAUUUCCAAGUGGUACUUUAAAUAAUUGCCUUUCUGUGUCACAAACUGACUGACCUUUAGUAUCUAUUCGUGCAUAAUAGUGUGGGGGAAUGACGCAAUGACGCUGCAUUUCUGUGUGAAACAGCAAACAGCAGCAUUCAGUCUUCUACCUCCUCAGCUUUUAAAGGGGACAAUACAACUGUGACUUGAAAGACAACAAAACAUCAAUAUCAUAAAAGCAAAUAAUGCAAAUCAUAAAACGCAUCCUAAUUUUAAACAGCAAUCUUUAAAUGUAUUACAUUAUUUAGAGCAGCUCUACUACUCACACUUCCCCUCUGACGUCACCUCAUGAAUAUUCAGCGUCUCGUGUGCAUAAGCAGUGCCUGGUACUCAAAGAGAUUAAGUUGACGGUCUCACUCACACUGGAGAAUACAUGAACAGUUCACAAAACAGUGUUGUUGGAGGUCUGUUAUGAUGACAUGAUGAGUUCUGCCGCAAGUGGCGCUGCGGAUUUUCCACCAUCAUCAGCGGAUGGUACCGAGGGGAGGAGGCGACCAUCUCCCGGACAAACCUCCGCCAAACCGGCCUUAAACCCCCGCGGCAGCCGCUCCGCAUCAUCCACUGCGUCAAAGCCAGGAGCAAAAUCCACUAAAGGACGUGAAGGAGAGCAGGACACGCGUGUGGUGAAGCUGAGGGGUGCGGCAGCUGUUCGUGGUGCUGAAACUGAGGCGAUUUUGGAAACCGAGGAGCGGAUUGACCGCGCUCCGCCACCGGACACCCGCCGCGCGCUGCGUUUUCCGUGCGUAAAAAGAGACUCGUCUGCGGAGAAACUCGACGGAGCGCCCGGUGGCGUGAGGGGGGGACAGGCCGCUGCGGGAGGAGAGUACGUGGGCUGCGGACCGGCCUUCUGGGGCGGAGGCUGUUUGCAGUCAGAGCUCAUCCAAUAUCACAUUAACAAGCGCUUGAGGAAAAGCGGUAGGAUGCAGCGGCAGACACCGGGAGAGACGCAACCGGGAUCGGGAGCGCAGGCCGAAGAGGUUAUGACACAGCAGGAUGAAGCCCUGCAGGAGGAGAUCGAAAGGCUGGAGGACGAAAACGACGAGCUUAAGAGCACGAUUGAAGAGAUGCGGACGGAGAUGGAGGAGAUGCGCGACACCUUCUACGAGGAAGACACGUGUCAGCUAGAUGAAAUGCGGCGUGAGCUGGAAAGAGCGAAUAAGAACUGUCGCAUCCUUCAGUAUCGACUCCGCAAAGCAGAGCGUAAACGACUACGCUAUGCGCAGACCGGAGAAAUCGACGAGGACCUCCUGAGGAGCUUAGAACAAGAUUUAAAGGUUGCCAAAGAUGUUUCUGUGAGACUCCACCAUGAGCUGGAAAACGUGGAGGAGAAACGAACAAAGACUGAAGAUGAAAACGAAAGGCUGAGACAGAAACUUAUCGAGGUGGAAGUCACCAAACAGGCCCUGCAACUUGAGCUAGAUAAGGCCAAAGAGUCUCAGAAACGAAGAGGAAGCAAAGAUGCACAAAAGCCUGAGAGGAAGACCCAGACUCCUACAGAGGAGGACAGUGAGGACCUGAAAUGCCAGCUGGCCUUCAUUAAAGAGGAGGCUACCUUAAUGAGAAAGAAAAUGGCAAAAAUCGACAAGGAAAAGGACCGCCUGGAGCAAGAACUUCAGAAGUAUCGAUCCUUCUAUGGGGAUUUGGAUAGCCCUCAUCCAAAGGGGGAAGCUGGUGGUCCACCCACUACAAGGGAAUCAGAACUGAAACUCCGCUUGCGGCUGGUGGAAGAAGAGGCCAACAUCCUUGGACGAAAAAUUGUGGAACUGGAGGUCGAGAACCGUGGUCUGAGAGCAGAAUUGGAUGAUCUUCGUGGGGAUGAAUCCUCUAAUGGGGGCUUGUCCGGUGCGGAAGGAGGAAUAGGGCGCGAACAGGGUUCAGAGCUGUCGGAGCUGAGGCAACAACUGCAGUUGGUGGAGGAUGAGGCCGAACUUCUGAGGAGGAACCUCGCGGAUGUAGAGGAACAGAAUAAGAGAGUGACAAGUGAGCUGAAUAAAUUGCGCUUUAAAGAGGGUACAAGGCAUGCUUCAGGUAGUAAUGCAACAGGUUCCAAUAAUGGUGGAGGAGACAGCUCCAAAUCUGAGGCCUUGCAGGAGGAGCUGAAGGCGGCAAGGAAGCAGAUCAAUGAACUGAGCGGGAAAGUGAUGCAACUACAAUAUGAGAACCGUGUGCUGCUUUCUAACAUGCAACGAUAUGACCUAGCAUCUCAUCUAGCCGUGACGCCACGUGACAGUGAUGCAGAAAGUGAUGGUGGUCCUGCAAUCGGAGGACGUAGAGGAAGUGAUGAUGACUCUUCCUCAUCUCGCCUCCCUCCCCAUCGAAAACGCGAGGGUCCAGUUGGAGGAGAAAGUGACUCGGAGGAGGUCCGCAAUGCUCGGUGCCUCACGCCAACUCGUUCGCUUUAUUCUCCUGAAUCUGCCCGCCUCCUCUCACGCUCCAUACGGGACAGGCAACAGAUGAUUGACAUCCGUGCUGAGGCAGAGCGAUUGGGACGGACCAUUGACCGUCUUAUAGCCGACACUAGUAACAUCAUCGCAGAGGCUCGGGUCUUUGUGGCUAACGGCGAUCUUUUUGGUCGUAUGGAAGAUGAGGAUGAUGGUGGUCGGAUCAGAGAGCAUGAGCUACUCUUCCGCAUCAACUCUCAAAUGAAGACCUUCAGGAAGGAGCUCCAAGGGUUUAUAGACCGGCUGGAAGUCCCAAAACCUGAGGAAAGAGAUUCAGAAGAACCAUUAUCUCAUAGUUUCGCCCUUUGUUUUCGUUUGUUUGUCAAUGUUGUGUAUGUCACCAUGGUCGAAGAAUCUCAGGAUGGUCACUUUCCAAGCACAGACAGCACGCUUAAGCACAGAAGACUGCAUAAAUGCUGGAGACUGUUUUACCCAAAUCACAUAUAUAUGGCUGCCGUUGGAAGGUACAUUAUCAAGAGUUUUAUUUUUGCAACUAAAGACUACUAUACAACAUCAGAAUAUCUGCGUUUGUGAAGACAUCAAGACCCUUAAACCUCUGGAAACGGCAUUACCAAGAAGGCAUUUAUUCAGAACUAUGGCUACAAGUCACAAUGAUGCUUGCUGUGCAACCAAAGAUUUUGCAAUGGAACAGUUAAGAAACCAUUUUAGGGUAUAUCAGCCAGAAUUCCAGUCACAUCAGCUGGAAUGACCGCCUGUCAGAAGCAUGCAAAGAAUGUCAGUGACGUCGGUCUCCUGCAUGGAGACCAUGAAUGCUGGAAUAAAUCUGACAUUAUGACACCGGACACCUGGCAGGUCUGACGUCGCAGGGGUAAAUACUUUAGUGACUAUAAAGCCCCAGGGCCCUCUCAGGACUACAGUUGUUUACCCCCGAGCUCCGGACAGGGCCAUAGGGCCGGACAGAGGAAACAUUUAGGAUCUAAUACACAGGAUUUUUAACAUCACGCUGUGGGGUACGAACAUCAGUGGUCUUUCCACAGUUACACGCAGGAGCAGUCAAAGGGGAGGUGGUACUGAAACAGGAGUGAUCUUCAUACAUGCGACAAAUCUGUACGUGAACAACAUACGUACGUUCUGGAGCAGCUGUUUCAGAGCAUCGCAAGUUUCUGGAGGAACCAAUAAUAAGAUCUAACUG
Molecule: non-coding RNA, 3688 nt
Organism: Danio rerio (zebrafish)
Lineage: Eukaryota; Metazoa; Chordata; Actinopteri; Cypriniformes; Danionidae
Source: RefSeq, a predicted model, not a curated record